Eriocheir sinensis (Chinese mitten crab) is the source of this 1195-nucleotide long non-coding RNA. RefSeq lists it as uncharacterized. The transcript has 2 exons. The record is from RefSeq and is a predicted model, not a curated record. NCBI's taxonomy places the organism in Eukaryota, Metazoa, Arthropoda, Malacostraca, Decapoda, Varunidae.
GCGUUAGUCCAAGGCCUUCUAAAAGGAGAAGGCCUGUGCAUAGGGGGCGUGACGUCAGCCUACGUCACGGGGGUUGGGCCAUGGAUAGCGACCUGCUUGUAUGGCAACUCGGGAGCUAUCUGGAGAAUCUGGCAGCGAACGGGUCGCGACCGGGAUGACCAGUCGAGGAUUGCUCGUGACCCGUGAGGAGAGCCUGAUUUACUGCGGCAUAUUUUACACCAUAUUGCCGAGACUUUAGGAUAAAUCUGUGAUAAUAGAGACAACACAAUGCCGGGGAAGUGCUCCGUGCCUCUCUGCAGAGGAAAUUAUGAUAGUGAUUCUCGUGUUAGUGUCUUCUCCUUCCCGAAGAAUCCAGAGCAGCUGACCACAUGGGUCCGGGCCAUUCACCGCGAGGAUUCUUUUGUCCCCACAAACUAUACCAAAGUGUGUGAACUUCACUUUCGUCCGGAGGAAAUCGAGCGGGAGACUUCAUUUUUUGAUGAGCGAACCGGCAGAACACUUACAGCAAAACUGUCAAUGCCAAGGCUUCGUACUGGAGCUGUUCCAUCAGUAUUUCCUAAUUGUCCCUCCUACCUCUCUUCAUCUGCAACGUUGAGAGAACCACCUGAGGAAAGGAAGUGCCGGAAAGAAAAGGUUGCUCUUCAAGCUGCCAUAGCACAAAGCAUCGAGGAAGACUUUACAGUACCAGCAGCAAAGAAAAUUUCCUUUUAGAAGGCCUUGGUUAGUCUCGGCCCCAAAAUGCCUUGGUGUGACGUCACGGAGUGACAAACUGACCGCAGGUUAGGCCUACUUGAGACCUGAGAUCUCCUUAGUAGGCCUCCAAUAUCAAUAUAAGGUCUCUGGUUUUUUAUUUCCAUUAUAAAUAUUUACCGUUCUCCCGCAAUAAUUAAAAGAAGGCAGAUUGACCACUUUUGGCAACGAUACCCUGUUUUGACCCCUGACACCUCUGAAUUUUGUUGACACUACAGAUUGUAGGGGAGAUAUGGGAGCACAACAGCCUCUUUGUUUCAACACCCAUCUCUUCCCUCUCGCUCUCUCUAAUCUCUCUCCCUUCUCUCUCAAACUUCUUUCUCUCUCUCUCCUUUCAUACUUUUCAUUUUCUUCCUCCUUCUCUUGUGUACUUCCUUCUUUCCUUUCUCUCUCUCUCUCUCUCUCUCUCUCUCUCUCUCUCUCUCUCUCUCUCUCUCUCUCUCUC